AUGAUGGCCUCGCCUUCAUCAAAGCAACAUCUAUUCCUAUCUCAAAAUCAAAAUAAGGGUUAUAAUUUCAAUUUGCUUCUCUCUGAAAUCUUAACCUUUUCAUCUAACUAUCUUUAUUCGCUGUUGUCGAUGGUUCUAAAGGCUCCGCUGACGGAAUUCAAGGUUGGCCUUACCUUAGAAAAAGUUGGGAAUGAAGUUAUGAGCACUGCUGCCAAGCUUGAAGAUGAUAAAUGUUCUCAAAAGAUUCAUUCUGGUAGCAGUAACGUUUAA
RNAcentral lists this long non-coding RNA (270 nucleotides) under Vicia faba (fava bean). Lineage: Eukaryota; Viridiplantae; Streptophyta; Magnoliopsida; Fabales; Fabaceae. The record is from RNAcentral.